This 1368-nucleotide ribosomal RNA is filed under the name uncultured bacterium. Its description in RNAcentral is "bacterial SSU rRNA". It matches the Rfam family "Bacterial small subunit ribosomal RNA", at positions 28 to 1381 of the family's 1533-position model. The record is from RNAcentral.
GACGAACGCUGGCGGCGUGCCUAAUACAUGCAAGUAGAACGCUGAAGAGAGGAGCUUGCUCUUCUUGGAUGAGUUGCGAACGGGUGAGUAACGCGUAGGUAACCUGCCUUGUAGCGGGGGAUAACUAUUGGAAACGAUAGCUAAUACCGCAUAACAAUGGAUGACACAUGUCAUUUAUUUGAAAGGGGCAAUUGCUCCACUACAAGAUGGACCUGCGUUGUAUUAGCUAGUAGGUGAGGUAACGGCUCACCUAGGCGACGAUACAUAGCCGACCUGAGAGGGUGAUCGGCCACACCGGGACUGAGACACGGCCCAGACUCCUACGGGAGGCAGCAGUAGGGAAUCUUCGGCAAUGGGGGCAACCCUGACCGAGCAACGCCGCGUGAGUGAAGAAGGUUUUCGGAUCGUAAAGCUCUGUUGUAAGUCAAGAACGAGUGUGAGAGUGGAAAGUUCACACUGUGACGGUAGCUUACCAGAAAGGGACGGCUAACUACGUGCCAGCAGCCGCGGUAAUACGUAGGUCCCGAGCGUUGUCCGGAUUUAUUGGGCGUAAAGCGAGCGCAGGCGGUUUGAUAAGUCUGAAGUUAAAGGCUGUGGCUCAACCAUAGUUCGCUUUGGAAACUGUCAAACUUGAGUGCAGAAGGGGAGAGUGGAAUUCCAUGUGUAGCGGUGAAAUGCGUAGAUAUAUGGAGGAACACCGGUGGCGAAAGCGGCUCUCUGGUCUGUAACUGACGCUGAGGCUCGAAAGCGUGGGGAGCGAACAGGAUUAGAUACCCUGGUAGUCCACGCCCUAAACGAUGUCAAUUAGCUGUUGGGCAACUUGAUUGUUCAGUAGCGUAGCUAACGCGUGAAAUUGACCGCCUGGGGAGUACGGUCGCAAGAUUAAAACUCAAAGGAAUUGACGGGGACCCGCACAAGCGGUGGAUGAUGUGGAUUAAUUCGAUGCAACGCGAAGAACCUUACCUGGUCUUGACAUGUACGGAAUCCUCCAGAGACGGAGGAGUGCCUUCGGGAACCGUAACACAGGUGCUGCAUGGCUGUCGUCAGCUCGUGUCGUGAGAUGUUGGGUUAAGUCCCGCAACGAGCGCAACCCUUGUCAUUAGUUGCCAUCAUUUAGUUGGGCACUCUAAUGAGACUGCCGGUGACAAGCCGGAGGAAGGUGGGGAUGACGUCAAGUCCUCAUGGCCCUUAUGACCAGGGCUUCACACGUCAUACAAUGGUCGGUACAGAGGGUAGCCAAGCCGCGAGGUGGAGCCAAUCUCACAAAACCGAUCGUAGUCCGGAUUGCACUCUGCAACUCGAGUGCAUGAAGUCGGAAUCGCUAGUAAUCGCAGGUCGGCAUACUGCGGUGAAUACGUUCCCGGGUCU